This 544-nucleotide ribosomal RNA is filed under the name Takifugu snyderi (shosai-fugu). RNAcentral describes it as "partial 12S rRNA". It matches the Rfam family "Bacterial small subunit ribosomal RNA", at positions 193 to 991 of the family's 1533-position model. Lineage: Eukaryota; Metazoa; Chordata; Actinopteri; Tetraodontiformes; Tetraodontidae. The record is from RNAcentral.
AUCCCAGUGAAAAUGCCCCCCGCCCCCCGUCCGGAAAUAGGGAGUUGGUAUCAGGCACACAAAUUUGUAGCCCAUGACACCUAGCUUUGCCACGCCCCCAAGGGAAUUCAGCAGUGAUAAACAUUAAGCCAUAAGUGAAAACUUGACUUAGUCAUGAUCUAAAGAGUCGGUAAAACUCGUGCCAGCCACCGCGGUUAUACGAGAGACCCAAGUUGUUAGCCAACGGCGUAAAGGGUGGUUAGAACUAUAGACAACAAACUGAGACCGAACACCUUCAAGGCUGUUAUACGCUUCCGAAGCAACGAAGAACAAUAACGAAAGUAGCCUCACUAACUCGAACCCACGAAAGCUAGGGCACAAACUGGGAUUAGAUACCCCACUAUGCCUACCCCUAAACACGAUAUGAACCUACGUACAUAUCCGCCUGGUUACUACGAGCAUUAGCUUAAAACCCAAAGGACUUGGCGGUGCUUUAAAACCAUCUAGAGGAGCCUGUUUUAAAACCGAUACUCCCCGUUCAACCUCACCCCUCCUUGUUUUAACC